GACAGAGGUGCCGAGCGUUAGGCGGAAUCACUGGGCUUAAAGCGUGUGUAGGCGGGCGAUCAAGUACCUUGUGAAAUCCCACGGCUCAACCGUGGAACCGCUGGGUAUACUGGUUGUCUUGAGCCGGCUAGGGGCGAGCGGAACAGACGGUGGAGCGGUGAAAUGCGUAGAUAUCAUUUGGAACGCCAAUGGUGAAAACAACUCGCUGGGGAAGUGCUGACGCUGAGACACGAAAGCCAGGGGAGCGAACGGG
RNAcentral lists this ribosomal RNA (253 nucleotides) under uncultured bacterium. Its description in RNAcentral is "partial 16S ribosomal RNA". It matches the Rfam family "Bacterial small subunit ribosomal RNA", at positions 524 to 776 of the family's 1533-position model. The record is from RNAcentral.